GACGAACGCUGGCGGCGUGCCUAAUACAUGCAAGUCGAGCGAGUCUGCCUUGAAGAUCGGAGUGCUUGCACUCUGUGAAACAAGAUACAGGCUAGCGGCGGACGGGUGAGUAACACGUGGGUAACCUGCCCAAGAGAUCGGGAUAACACCUGGAAACAGAUGCUAAUACCGGAUAACAACAGAUGAUGCCUAUCAACUGUUUAAAAGAUGGUUCUGCUAUCACUCUUGGAUGGACCUGCGGUGCAUUAGCUAGUUGGUAGGGUAACGGCCUACCAAGGCGAUGAUGCAUAGCCGAGUUGAGAGACUGAUCGGCCACAUUGGGACUGAGACACGGCCCAAACUCCUACGGGAGGCAGCAGUAGGGAAUCUUCCGCAAUGGGCGAAAGCUUGACGGAGCAACGCCGCGUGAGUGAUGAAGGUCUUCGGAUCGUAAAACUCUGUUAUUAGGGAAGAACAAAUGUGUAAGUAACUAUGCACGUCUUGACGGUACCUAAUCAGAAAGCCACGGCUAACUACGUG
This 519-nucleotide ribosomal RNA is filed under the name uncultured bacterium. Its description in RNAcentral is "partial 16S ribosomal RNA". It matches the Rfam family "Bacterial small subunit ribosomal RNA", at positions 28 to 507 of the family's 1533-position model. The record is from RNAcentral.